GGGGAAUAUUGCACAAUGGGGGAAACCCUGAUGCAGCGACGCCGCGUGAGUGAAGAAGUAUUUCGGUAUGUAAAGCUCUAUCAGCAGGGAAGAAAAUGACGGUACCUGAGUAAGAAGCCCCGGCUAACUACGUGCCAGCAGCCGCGGUAAUACGUAGGGGGCAAGCGUUAUCCGGAUUUACUGGGUGUAAAGGGAGCGCAGACGGCUCUGCAAGUCUGAAGUGAAAGCCCGCGGCUUAACCGCGGGACUGCUUUGGAAACUGCAAGGCUUGAGUAUCGGAGGGGCAGGCGGAAUUCCUAGUGUAGCGGUGAAAUGCGUAGAUAUUAGGAAGAACACCGGUGGCGAAGGCGGCCUGCUGGACGAAAACUGACGUUGAGGCUCGAAGGCGUGGGGAGCAAACAGGAUUAGAUACCCUGGUAGUCCACGCGGUAAACGAUGAAUACUAGGUGUUGGUGCCCGAAGGGCAUCGGUGCCGUCGCAAACGCAAUAAGUAUUCCACCUGGGGAGUACGUUCGCAAGAAUG
Molecule: ribosomal RNA, 523 nt
Filed under: uncultured bacterium
Lineage: Bacteria
Description: bacterial SSU rRNA
Rfam family: Bacterial small subunit ribosomal RNA
Source: RNAcentral